GAUGAACGCUGGCGGCGUGCCUAAUACAUGCAAGUCGAGCGAACGGACGAGAAGCUUGCUUCUCUGAUGUUAGCGGCGGACGGGUGAGUAACACGUGGAUAACCUACCUAUAAGACUGGGAUAACUUCGGGAAACCGGAGCUAAUACCGGAUAAUAUUUUGAACCGCAUGGUUCAAAAGUGAAAGACGGUCUUGCUGUCACUUAUAGAUGGAUCCGCGCUGCAUUAGCUAGUUGGUAAGGUAACGGCUUACCAAGGCAACGAUGCAUAGCCGACCUGAGAGGGUGAUCGGCCACACUGGAACUGAGACACGGCCCAGACUCCUACGGGAGGCAGCAGUAGGGAAUCUUCCGCAAUGGGCGAAAGCCUGACGGAGCAACGCCGCGUGAGUGAUGAAGGUCUUCGGAUCGUAAAACUCUGUUAUUAGGGAAGAACAUAUGUGUAAGUAACUGUGCACAUCUUGACGGUAUCUAAUCAGAAAGCCACGGCUAACUACGUG
RNAcentral lists this ribosomal RNA (497 nucleotides) under uncultured bacterium. RNAcentral's name for it is "partial 16S ribosomal RNA". It matches the Rfam family "Bacterial small subunit ribosomal RNA", at positions 28 to 507 of the family's 1533-position model. The record is from RNAcentral.